RNAcentral lists this ribosomal RNA (408 nucleotides) under uncultured bacterium. RNAcentral describes it as "partial 16S ribosomal RNA". It matches the Rfam family "Bacterial small subunit ribosomal RNA", at positions 28 to 526 of the family's 1533-position model. The record is from RNAcentral.
GACGAACGCUGGCGGCGUGCUUCACACAUGCAAGUCGAACGAAGUGGCGAACGGGUGCGUAACGCGUAAUCAACCUGCCCUUCUGUGGGGGACAACAGUUGGAAACGACUGCUAAUACCGCAUACUGAAGGUGGGGUUUGCGUCUGUGUAGCUAGUUGGAGGGGUAACGACCCACCAAGGAGAUGAUCAGUAGCCGGUCUGGGAGGGUGAACGGCCACAUUGGGACGGAGACACGGCCCAGACUCCUACGGGAGGCAGCAGUGGGGAAUCUUCCGCAAUGGACGAAAGUCUGACGGAGCAACGCCGCGUGAGUGAUGACGGCCUUCGGGUUGUAAAGCUCUGUUAAUCGGGACGCGGUACCGGAAUAGAAAGCCACGGCUAACUACGUGCCAGCAGCCGCGGUAAUUC